AAUUUCAAGAACGCAGCCUGAUCUAAUUAGGCUGACGGCUGGUGAUUUUUUAAUCACCAGCCU
Providencia rettgeri Dmel1 is the source of this 63-nucleotide non-coding RNA. The record is from Rfam. NCBI's taxonomy places the organism in Bacteria, Pseudomonadati, Pseudomonadota, Gammaproteobacteria, Enterobacterales, Morganellaceae.